CCUCUUUUUGGAGAUUCUCACGAAUGAGACAAGCUUCUUUACACAUUACCAUUUAAAUCAAGCUACCUUGAAUGGAGCUUUGGAUCUCCAGAUCUGUUUCCAUGGCAAAGGACUUGGUAAGUUCUCCGGUUUUGUUAAAAUUUUGUAGCAUGAUCUCACUGUGAGCAGACCCUUUUUUCUAGGGAUCCAUGUUAUGUUGCCUUCUGUAUUAGUGUGCUGCUGAUGUGUUCAAAAGACUGAAAAAAUCAACAGCCCAGUUUCAACUGUCAUAAGCUGGCUCUCUCAUCUUGCUCUUGUCCAAGCUAGUUACGCAAUUGCACGUUGCUUACUUGGUUUGGUGUUUAAAAGGUUUGACUACUACUCUCUUAUCCCAUACACUAGCAAAUCUUCAGGUUAAGGUGGAUUGGAAUUUGCUUGGGGCAUAGUGGCUGGGAGGCCUUAACCUUAUAGCUAUUAGCCGUGAAUAUAUCCUGUUCGAUUGUACUUGGACCUUAAACGUUUUAAUAGAUUUAUUCAGCAUGUUUGUCUGAUUUACCUCUUGACAGAUUAAGGAGCACUGCCAUCAGAAUAACACUUUGAAUUGAAAGGAAUCAACUUUUUAGUUGAGUGUGGCUUGGGUUACGUACUUAUGUUGGAUGGUAGCAUAAAAUGGGUGAAGAGAAAUAGAGAUAAAGUGUAGCAAGAAGAGUACCCUUCUGAAUCUUAUGUGGAUUUCUUAUGAUGUUUGUGAACAGUAAUGCUGAAUCAUAAAAUAUGCUUUAUCAGUGUCUUGGUUAGAGGUAGCUAAGAGAUUGCGAAGGGUGAGGGAGGAGGUAAGAAUGAUAUUGAAAUGGUCUCCUAGAGUGUAUCCCAAAACUGCUGUCUCUUGCUUUUCUGUAUCUGGGUUUUGUAUGAAACUCAUGAAAUUUAUUAGCAUAGGUGAUGGUUUACCUUGAUUAUCUGCUUUUUUCUCUUAAUGUGGUUCCUUUUUUUAUUUUGGAAACUUUUCAGGUAUGGCUUGGUCUUGGAAAAACAGUUCUCACAAAUAUAUCCAAAAUCCUAAGCUUGGCCAUAUCCAGGUUUUAGAGUACACUGGUCUUAUGUAACCCAAAGACAUGUUUCCCCUUUAAGUUAAAAACUUAUCUAAACGCAGUAAACAACUGUUUUCCAAGACUUCCCAAAACUCAACUUAUGCCAAAAAAACAUUCCAGGAACUCAACAAAAAACUAACUCAGAAUGUUUUAACAUUUGAAUGGAGAAAGCACAAUUCGGAGCCCUACAGCAAUCCGUCUUGUCAAGUUAGUGCCCUUGAAUGCUGUUUAGCAUCUCGUUUUUAGUUAUCAGCUCUGGAGCAUGUAGAAAGUGCAGUAAAUUUAUUGGUCCUAAAGAUACCGUAAUUGCCUAUGCUUAAUUAUCAGCUGGGGUCUAGGUUUAUUUGUAAUUGUUUCAAUACUUUCAGGCCUUCUCUAUUGGCCAUGACUUACCACUUAAUCCUGUUUAUGUUUCCCUACUUGUUAUUGUGAGAUCUUAAGUGAUUGAAUGCUUUGAUAAUAUAGGUCAAGUUCUGAGCCCUUGAUUAUUACUACUACUACUACUUCCUUUAUUGCUAGAUUUUCUUAAAUGACUGAAUGAUUAGAUAAUAUUACAGUAGUGUCCCGUUCUUCAAAAUAUCCAUCAUUUUAGAAGUGCAUGUGAAAGAAUGCAGACUACAUUAACACUUCCCGUGGUAUUACUCUGCAAUCACAUUACUAAAUGAUGGAGCUUCACUAUCAAGUUUUAAUAGUUGAAUAUUCUAUUGUAUCAUUAUUACUUCCUCCGUUUCAAAAAGAAUGGUCUAGUUUGACUUGGAAUGGAGUUUAAGAAAAGAAAGAAGACGUUUUAAUCUUGUGGUUCUAAAUUAAAGUUAUGUCAAAUGUACCAAAUGUCCUUAAUCUUGUGGCCUUAUACAUGCCACGUGGAAAGUUGAAGUUAAAGUGUUGCCAAAAAAGGAAAGGGAUCAUUCUUUUUGAAACAGACUAAGAAGGAAAUUAGGACAUUCUUUUCGAAAUGGAGGGAGUAGUUGCUAACCCUGAGAUUCAUUAUCCUGGAAAAAGAAAGUAUUUUGGACUUUUGAUGUUUUCUGGGAAUCAACCUUUUGUUUUCUAUGUAUUCACCUUCAGCCCUCUGGUGGAUACCAAAGCUUUUGGACGAAUGCAUGCUACAGAUGCCGAAUCUUUUGAUUUGCAUUCGUUUUACAGAGGGGUGUGUGAGAGCAUUGUGAUGAGACAUCAAUGAGAUUUCUUCUCUUUUAUUCUUUUUCUGUGGUUUGAACAUUGGACAUGGUAGCAUUUGGUUUAUCACCAUAAACGAUGCAGAUUUUGGCGUCCACCAAGCUCACAAGUCACAAAGACCAGGAAAUUGAGCUCUUCGUCAGUUUUCCUUUUCUUUUUACAUAGCAGAACUGUUUUAAGUGAUAGGUUACAUGCAAUUGUUGCAACUAUGCUGGCUACAUCAGUAAAGGGGAUAGCCAUAAUCCAUAGCAUAUACAAUCGACCUUCCAGUGGUGAUUUGCAGCACAACAGUGCCUGGCACUGCGCAUUAAAAAUUCUGUUAUUUAUGGUCCAUCUAAGAAAUAAUAUUGAUUUGAUUCUUUUUUCAGAUGUGAACUUGUGGAUGGGCCUGUUUGGAUAACAUUGCCUCCAAUUUAUUAGAGUUGUGUCUAUAUGGCCACCAAAACGGGUAUGAUCAGUUUCAUUCUUCUAGUAUUCUUUUGUUUCUGUAUUUCACACGUAAGCAAAGAAAGUAAGAAAAAAUGAGCUCUUCAUAGUUCUUUUUCUUUAUUUAGUGCCGAAUUUUCAUACAUCAUCAGGGCGAUGGUAUAUUUACAACUGAUAAUGUUGCCAUGAAAGUCCCCAUAUCUACCCAGGGGCUUGAGAAAUAUAAGUAACAUACAUCUCUUCACUCUUCAGAUACUCUUAUUUCUGCAGUGCAGCAUACCGUCUCAAUGGUGUGAUCUGUAGAGGAGGAUGGUGUUGAACCGUACAAAAUUCCUAAACAACUGUUGGCGUUUUACGCUUAAUGUGCCGAGAUGUCAACUCUGACUCCGUCCCUCCAAGCAUUUCCCACAUCACCUGUACAUCUUCAUAUCCACAGGACUGUAUAUCGCCUUGAAGCUUCAAUAAUCCAGCACCUGAUGUAAACAAAAGUAAGUAAUCCAUAAAGCUACUAUCUCUAUGUUUUUCACUCUGUUCCUUAAGACUGUCCAAAUUCUUUGCAUCCUAAGUGCCAAAAUUUAUGAAGUUACAAGUUUCUCUUCUACCCUAGCUUAGUGAUAACUUAUAUUCCUCCGUCCCAAUUUAUGUGACAAUAUCUAAAACAAACACAUCUUUAAAAAGUUAGAUUGUAGAAAAAACAGGGGGAGAGGCUUUGAAAAACUAGUGCAUCUAUAUUUAGCUUCUUCCUAUAUGUUCAUUAAAUCAAGAGUAAGAGAAACACCAAAUGCGAGUAAGUUUUUUUAUGACUAACCAUCUUUACGAGGCUUGACACGAGCAGAAACAGCACCCCAAACACGUCUAACCGGAAAGACCAUUUUUUGCCACAAAUCCUCCAUCUCCUCUCCUCUACUCCUAUGUUUGGUUGAAAAUGAAAGGGUUUAUAGUGCUCUUUGUUGCAAUAAAGAAUGUAAUGACUAGAGACUAAUAAAGGAGUGAUGUGUUCCUUCCACUCUUGAGUCUUGAUGUGGGGUUUCACAAAAGCAGAUGAAUUAGUGAUAUUGACACAUAUAUAUAUGGGAAAAUAGGGAUGUAUAUGUUUGAAUAUUCUAAUAACUCUAUAAAGUAUGCAGACAAAAUUUACCCCAAUUUAGAUUUGAUUUUUUUCACUAAAGAAAUAAAAAAUAUUCACCGACGCGACCGUCACAGUGCUUGUGUAAGAGAUAUUUUAGUGCCACGAGUCACUUGUGUUGUGGCUGCGCAGGAUUGUCUUAGUUAUUAUUUGGACCGUCAAAUACGUUUGAAAUAUUUUGAAUUGUUAUAGUUUCUAAAUAUUUCAAUUUUAUUUUGAAAAAAUAUUGACGAUACUUUUUAAUUGUCAUGGUUUUUUUUUUUUAGAGUCAAACUAUAAAAACUUUGACUAAUAUUUUACGAUGUAUUUUUUCAUUAUAUUGAUAUGCAAAAAAAUUGUAAUUUAUAGUAUUUUUCAUAUAAUUUUUUAAUAUCUAAAUUUUUUAUUUAAAAUUAAAUUAAUGUAAUCUAAUUUAACAUUGAAAUUAAUUAAAUUAACUUUUGAAAAAAGUAACAUAACAAAUAAAAAUGAAUGAAAAAAAUAUAUUUGAAUUAGUUUAAUUCUCGCGGAGACCAUCAUUUUGGGAUGGAGGGAGUAUUUUCUGCUAGUGCUCGUCUUUUGACUUCUUUUCAUUCAACACAUGUCAUGUUUUCAGUGGGAAAGAGAGAAGAAAAUGGCACCUUUAUAUUAUAAUUAUAAUUAGAAAAAUUGUGUGGUUUGGACGGUUUGACUCUUUAGAUUUUUGUGCCUCAAAUCGAGAGAACAUUAUUAGUGAGCCUUUUUCUGAAAGAACAUUAUUUACAUGCGUUAUUUAUCCCAAAUAUAGUGAAAUAAAUAUUAAGAUUUUUUUUUAUAGCAUUGGCAAUUUAAUUUUGUUAUAUUUGGUGUGAGUAGGUUUGGAGUUUGGGUCAGCUAAUCAGACCAAGAUUCCUAAUUCAAGAGAUGGAAAAGGAAAGGAGUGAUAAGAAGGUCCCAAUGAGAGAGAUAUUUUUGUGUAUUGAAGAAUACGUGGAGUCUUUUUGAGGCUCUAUUAUUAUUACAACUUUCCCGUACUGUCAGCAAUGGGGUCUACCUCCACGUUUUAAUCAAUUUUUUCGAUGGAUUUUAGUUUAUGCAUUUAGUAAUCGCUCGGCGUGAGAUAUAUGGUUUAAUAAUUUUAAAAUAUAAAAUAUAAAAUUAUUUUAUCUUGUGUUUGGUUGGAG
RNAcentral lists this long non-coding RNA (4943 nucleotides) under Solanum tuberosum (potato). Its description in RNAcentral is "long non-coding RNA (STUB_LNC006761)". The record is from RNAcentral. Lineage: Eukaryota; Viridiplantae; Streptophyta; Magnoliopsida; Solanales; Solanaceae.